RNAcentral lists this ribosomal RNA (802 nucleotides) under uncultured Microgenomates group bacterium. RNAcentral's name for it is "bacterial SSU rRNA". It matches the Rfam family "Bacterial small subunit ribosomal RNA", at positions 373 to 1211 of the family's 1533-position model. The record is from RNAcentral.
GGGCGAAGCUGAUGGACGACACCGCGUGAAGGAUGAAGGUCUAACGAUUGUAAACUUCUUUUCUGAGGGAGCAUAAUGAGAGUACCUCAGGAAUAAGGGACGGCUAAAUACGUGCCAGCAGCCGCGGUAAUACGUAUGUCCCAAGCGUUACCCGGAAUUAUUGGGUGUAAAGCGUUUGUAGGCGGUUUUGUAAGUUGGAUAUGAAAGACCGAAGCUCAACUUCGCGUUUGUAUUCAAAACUGUAAAACUAGAAUCAGGGAGAGGUAAGCGGAAUUCUUAGUGUAGGGGUGCAAUCCGUAGAUACUAAGAGGAACACCAAAAGCGAAGGCAGCUUACUGGAACUGUAUUGACGCUCAGAAACGAAAGCGUGGGUAGCGAAAAGGAUUAGAUACCCUUGUAGUCCACGCCCUAAACGAUGAUAACUAAGUGUUGUGACUUGCUCGCAGUGCUGAAGCUAACGCGAUAAGCUAUCCACCUGAGGAGUACGGUCGCAAGAUUAAAACUCAAAGGAAUAGACGGGGACCCACACAAGCAGUGGAUCACGUGGUUUAAUUCGACAAUAAACGGCGAACCUUACCCAGACUUGACAUCUAUCGAAUUCUGCAGAGAUACGGAAGUGCCUUUAUUGGAGCGAUAAGACAGGUGCUGCAUGNUUGUCGUCAGCUCGUGGCUUGAGGUGGUUCGGUAAAUCCGUUAACAAACGCAACCAUGUUCUUAAUUAAUAAGGCCAAAAAGACUGCCCUGGUUUACAAAGGAGAAGGGGGUGGAUGACAUCAAAUCCACCAUGGCCUUUUACUUCUGG